RNAcentral lists this ribosomal RNA (1301 nucleotides) under metagenome. RNAcentral describes it as "bacterial LSU rRNA". It matches the Rfam family "Bacterial large subunit ribosomal RNA", at positions 1634 to 2925 of the family's 2925-position model. The record is from RNAcentral.
CCACACGACCGUACCGCAAACCGACACUGGUGCGCGAGAUGAGUAUUCUAAGGCGCUUGAGAGAACUCAGGAGAAGGAACUCGGCAAAUUGACACCGUAACUUCGGAAGAAGGUGUGCCUUUAGUAGGUGAACCUGUACAAGGGGAGCCCAAUGAGGUUGCAAAAAAUCGGUGGCUGCGACUGUUUAAUAAAAACACAGCACUCUGCAAACACGAAAGUGGACGUAUAGGGUGUGACGCCUGCCCGGUGCUGGAAGAUUAAAUGAUGGGGUGCAAGCUCUUGAUUGAAGUCCCAGUAAACGGCGGCCGUAACGAUAACGGUCCUAAGGUAGCGAAAUUCCUUGUCGGGUAAGUUCCGACCUGCACGAAUGGCGUAACGAUGGCCACACUGUCUCCUCCUGAGACUCAGCGAAGUUGAAAUGUUUGUGAUGAUGCAAUCUCCCCGCGGAAAGACGGAAAGACCCCAUGAACCUUUACUGUAGCUUUGUAUUGGACUUUGAACAGAUCUGUGUAGGAUAGGUGGGAGGCUUUGAAGUGUGGUCGCUAGAUCGCAUGGAGCCAACGUUGAAAUACCACCCUGGUGUGUUUGAGGUUCUAACCUAGGCCCGUAAUCCGGGUCGGGGGCAGUGCAUGGUAGGCAGUUUGACUGGGGCGGUCUCCUCCCAAAGCGUAACGGAGGAGUUCGAAGGUACGCUAGGUACGGUCGGACAUCGUGCUAAUAGUGCAAUGGCAUAAGCGUGCUUAACUGCGAGACUGACAAGUCGAGCAGAUGCGAAAGCAGGACAUAGUGAUCCGGUGGUUCUGUAUGGAAGGGCCAUCGCUCAACGGAUAAAAGGUACUCUGGGGAUAACAGGCUGAUACCGCCCAAGAGUUCAUAUCGACGGCGGUGUUUGGCACCUCGAUGUCGGCUCAUCUCAUCCUGGGGCUGUAGCCGGUCCCAAGGGUAUGGCUGUUCGCCAUUUAAAGAGGUACGUGAGCUGGGUUUAAAACGUCGUGAGACAGUUUGGUCCCUAUCUUCCGUGGGCGCUGCAGAUUUGAGGAAGCCUGCUCCUAGUACGAGAGGACCGGAGUGGACACACCUCUGGUGUAUCGGUUGUCACGCCAGUGGCAUUGCCGAGUAGCUAUGUGUGGAAGAGAUAACCGCUGAAAGCAUCUAAGCGGGAAACUCGUUUCAAGAUGAGAUCUGCCGGGGCCUUGAGCCCCCUAAAGAGUCGUUCAAGACCAGGACGUUGAUAGGUCGGGUGUGGAAGCGCAGUAAUGCGUUAAGCUAACCGAUACUAAUUGCUCGUGCGGCUUGAUCAA